Molecule: ribosomal RNA, 800 nt
Filed under: uncultured archaeon
Lineage: Archaea
Description: bacterial SSU rRNA
Rfam family: Archaeal small subunit ribosomal RNA
Source: RNAcentral
GCUACUGCCAUCAGAGUUCGAUUAAGCCAUGUUAGUCGAGGGUGCUUCUUCUUCGGAAGAGGUAACCCGGCGGACGGCUCAGUAACACGUGGAUAACUUGCCCUUGGGUCCGGGAUAACCCCUGAGAAAUUGGGGACAAUACCGGAUAGGGCAUCGAUAGCUGGAAUGCGCGAUGUCCAAAAGCUGAGGCGCCCAAGGAUAGGUCUGCGGCCGAUUAGGUUGUUGUUGAUGUAAUGGAUCAACAAGCCUGCAAUCGGUACGGGUUGUGAGAGCAAGAGCCCGGAGAUGGGUUCUGAGAAAAGAACCCAGGUCCUACGGGACGCAUCAGGCGCGAAAACUUUACAAUGUGCGAAAGCACGAUAAGGGAACUCUGAGUGCCUCCUAUGGAGGCUGUUCAGGUGUCUAAAAAGCAUUUGAAGUAAGGGCUGGGUAAGACCGGUGCCAGCCGCCGCGGUAACACCGGCAGCCCAAGUGGUAGCCACGAUUAUUGGGUCUAAAGCGUCCGUAGCCGGCCAGGUAAGUUCUUUGGGAAAUUUAACCGCUCAACGGUUAAGCUUUCAGGGAAUACUGCUUGGCUUGGGACCGGGAGAGGUCAGAGGUACUUCAAGGGUAGGGGUGAAAUCCGUUAAUCCUUGAGGGACCACCAGUAGCGAAGGCGUCUGACCAGACCGGGUCCGACGGUGAGGGACGAAGGCUAGGGUCGCGAACCGGAUUAGAUACCCGGGUAGUCCUAGCUGUAAACGAUGCGGGCCAGGUGUUGGCAUUACUGCGGGUGAUGUCAGUGCCGAAGGGAAGCCGUU